Molecule: long non-coding RNA, 1163 nt
Organism: Acanthopagrus latus (yellowfin seabream)
Lineage: Eukaryota; Metazoa; Chordata; Actinopteri; Spariformes; Sparidae
Exons: 3
Source: RefSeq, a predicted model, not a curated record
AUUGGACCGAGCCAGAGAGAAAACACAGAUAAAUAUCAGCGCGCCAUUUCAGAGCUGGAGGAGCUGCAGGAUUUGUAAGGAGUCAAGAGCGACGCAGAGCUAGCGGCUUUUCUGCUGGACAGGCAGGGAACGCAGUGCAAGGUGGGGGUGAAUACAGCACAUGUGGCCCAUGGAGGAAGAAGGUAGACUGCUGCAGGGGUUGAUGACCUUGGAAACAGAAAACAGGCACACAAAACAAGAACUUUUUAUAUUCCACCGGGAGAGUGGCAGCAAUGACACCCAGACGGAGCUUGACAUUCAUCAAAAUGGAAAAAAUAUCACAAAUGUAAUAGUGGAAUCUAUUGCUCGAGCCCAUCAGCACUGUGGAGGUCGAACGCUUUAAGAAAACAAAGGCAACUUUGGAACCUGGAGCACGCGAGACAGUCACGCACACACUAACCACAUAAUACAAAGGACUAGAAGAGAAGAUUCUGUAGUCACAACUAAGUGAAGCACUGAGCUUUAACACAGAUGACUGAAGCUGUACAUGACUUUAACCGCCUGCUUUUUGAGGACGAGAGGAAACUACAGAGUCUUGCACAUGAGAUGAACAAAUGGAAGAGGUGUACAUGGGCAAAAAACAUUUGUCACACCGUGGCUGCUGCCAGAAAAUCCAGCGGGACGUUAUAGAAAGCAAAUAACCAGACAGUGAAACAAGAGCAGCAACAUGUCCCUCAGUUUGAACUGAUUUUAGGAUGUCUCUAUGUUUUGGAACUCAAUCUAGUCACUUGAUCUGUAAGAGAACGUCAUCUCUAAUCUGGUUCCUUCAGAUUUUGAGUUGAGUCUUUCUGUAUAGACAUCAAUAACACUGAUCAUUGAUCCUGAGUAUCAGUGUAUUCAUACAUAUCAGAUAAACCAGUUGUUCUAACACAGAACUGAGGCUUCACUAUUUCCAUAACUAUGAUUUACAAAUUUAAAGGUGUCUCAAUUUGAACUCACCGGCGUGGGUUUUUAACGUGGUGUUGACGUGAGCAUGUGUACUCUGUAUAAGCCGCACUGAGCUGUAAAGCAAACCUCCACUACAAAAGGCUUAGAACAAGUUGUAAACUCCCAGGGGAUGUUAAUGUGUUAGAACAAAGGAGAUUAAGAUUAUAUCUAUUUCUGUUUGUUUUUCGUGACUGUGC